GAUGAACGCUGGCGGCGUGCCUAACACAUGUAAGUCGAACGUGAAGAUGCAGCAAUGUAUCUGAAAGUGGCGGACGGGUGAGUAACACGUAGGUGACCUGCCUCGAAGAGGGGGAUAACCAUUGGAAACGAUGGCUAAUACCGCAUGGUCUUGUUUAGGUGGGAACUUAGACAAGUAAAACCUUGGUGCUUCGAGAGGGGCCUGCGUCCGAUUAGCUAGUUGGUAGGGUAACGGCCUACCAAGGCGAUGAUCGGUAGCUGGUCUGAGAGGACGAUCAGCCACACGGGAACUGAGAAACGGUCCCGACUCCUACGGGGGGCAGCAGUGAGGAAUAUUGCACAAUGGGCGAAAGCCUGAUGCAGCAACGCCGCGUGGAGGAUGAAGGUUUUCGGAUUGUAAACUCCUUUUAUGGGGGAAAAGAACGGAUGGUACCCCGUGAAUAAGUCACGGCUAACUACGUGCCAGCAGCCGCGGUAAUACGUAGGUGACGAGCGUUAUCCGGAUUUAUUGGGCGUAAAGCGUACGCAGGCGGUUUUUUAAGUCUGACGUGAAACCUCCCGGCUUAACUGGGAGAAUGCGUUGGAAACUGGAGGACUUGAGGCAAUGAGAGGUAUGCAGAAUUCCCGGUGUAGUGGUGGAAUGCGUAGAUAUCGGGGGGAAUACCAGUGGCGAAAGCGGCAUACCAGCAUUGUACUGACGCUCAUGUACGAAAGCGUGGGUAGCAAACGGGAUUAGAUACCCCGGUAGUCCACGCCGUAAACGAUGAACACUAGGUGUGGGUGGCCUUAAAAACCAUCCGUACCGAAGCCAACGCGAUAAGUGUUCCGCCUGGGAAGUACGGCCGCAAGGCUAAAACUCAAAGGAAUUGACGGGGACCCGCACAAGCAGCGGAGCGUGUGGUUUAAUUCGAUGCGACGCGAAAAACCUUACCUGGGUUUGACAUGUACGUAGUAGUGAAGUGAAAGCGGAACGAUCCGCAAGGAAGCGUGCACAGGUGAUGCAUGGCUGUCGUCAGCUCGUGUCGUGAGAUGUUGGGUUAAGUCCCGCAACGAGCGCAACCCCUAUCGUUAGUUACACGUGUCUAGCGAGACUGCUGGAUUAUAUGCCAGAGGAAGGUGGGGACGACGUCAAGUCAGCAUGUCCUUUAUAUCCAGGGCUACACACACGCUACAAUGGGCAGCACAAUGGGCAGCGAAAGGGCGACCUGGAGCAAAUCCUAACAAAGCUGUUCGUAGUUCGGAUUGCAGGCUGCAACUCGCCUGCAUGAAGCUGGAGUUGCUAGUAAACGCAGGUCAGCAUUACUGCGUUGAAUACGUUCCCGGGUCUUGUACACACCGCCCGUCACGUCAUGGGAGUUGGUAACACCUGAAGUCGGUGACUCAACCGCAAGGAGAGAGCUGCCUAGGGUGGGGCUGAUGACUGGGACG
Molecule: ribosomal RNA, 1427 nt
Filed under: uncultured bacterium
Lineage: Bacteria
Description: bacterial SSU rRNA
Rfam family: Bacterial small subunit ribosomal RNA
Source: RNAcentral